Molecule: ribosomal RNA, 468 nt
Filed under: uncultured bacterium
Lineage: Bacteria
Description: partial 16S ribosomal RNA
Rfam family: Bacterial small subunit ribosomal RNA
Source: RNAcentral
GACGAACGCUGGCGGCGUGCUUAACACAUGCAAGUCGAACGGAAAGGCCCUGCUUUUGUGGGGUGCUCGAGUGGCGAACGGGUGAGUAACACGUGAGUAACCUGCCCUUGACUUUGGGAUAACUUCAGGAAACUGGGGCUAAUACCGGAUAGGAGCUCCUGCUGCAUGGUGGGGGUUGGAAAGUUUCGGCGGUUGGGGAUGGACUCGCGGCUUAUCAGCUUGUUGGUGGGGUAGUGGCUUACCAAGGCUUUGACGGGUAGCCGGCCUGAGAGGGUGACCGGGCCCAUUGGGACUGAGAGACGGCCCAGAGUCCUACGGGGGGCAGAAGUGGGGGAAAUUGCGCAAUGGGCGGAAGCGUGAGGCAGAAACGCCGCGUGCGGGAUAACGGGCCUCGCGUUGUAAAAACCGUUUGCCCGUGACGAAGAGUGAGUGACGGUAAUGGGUAAAGAAGAACAGGCUAACUCCGUG